ACGGAAGGCAGCAGUGGGGAAUAUUGCACAAUGGGGGAAACCCUGAUGCAGCGACGCCGCGUGAACGAUGAAGUAUUUCGGUAUGUAAAGUUCUAUCAGCAGGGAAGAUAAUGACGGUACCUGACUAAGAAGCACCGGCUAAAUACGUGCCAGCAGCCGCGGUAAUACGUAUGGUGCAAGCGUUAUCCGGAUUUACUGGGUGUAAAGGGUGCGUAGGUGGCAUGGCAAGUCUGAAGUGAAAUGCGGGGGCUCAACCCCUGAACUGCUUUGGAACUGUCAAGCUUGAGUACAGGAGAGGAAAGCGGAAUUCCUAGUGUAGCGGUGAAAUGCGUAGAUAUUAGGAGGAACACCAGUGGCGAAGGCGGCUUUCUGGACUGUAACUGACACUGAGGCACGAAAGCGUGGGGAGCAAACAGGAUUAGAUACCCUGGUA
This 433-nucleotide ribosomal RNA is filed under the name uncultured Lachnospiraceae bacterium. RNAcentral's name for it is "partial 16S ribosomal RNA". It matches the Rfam family "Bacterial small subunit ribosomal RNA", at positions 341 to 792 of the family's 1533-position model. The record is from RNAcentral. Lineage: Bacteria; Bacillati; Bacillota; Clostridia; Lachnospirales; Lachnospiraceae.